GUGAGAGAGACUCGGGUAUUCGUCUUCCUCUGUGCAGCGGAAAGCUGCCAUCUCUCGAUGUUUGGGUGGCUUGAAUCCCUCGGAGCUCUCCAUCCGGUUGCACCCAGACAAAGGCGACGUUUUCCAUCCCCUCUCUCUCAACUACACAACGGGCCUGUCGUGCCGGACUUGGGACGAGCUGGUCCAGGAGCUCAGCUGCAUCUAUUCUGACGCAAUUGCUUCGCUCCCUGACACAUCCCUUCCGGACGCCAAGACGCGGCAAAAUGCGGCGAUCAUCCAAAGGCAUCCAGCCGCCCAAGGACGAAAGGGAGCCGACUUGGAUGUCGAAGGUGUCCGAGAUUUGCAGAGGUAGGAUCGACGUGGACUUGCUUUUGUGCCACAAAAUCAUGCUCGCCUUUCACUACCAUCUGGACAUGAACGAUUCAAUCAAGAUUGCCAGGACCUGAUCACGCAAGAAGAAGAAGAGCUCUACAUUGAUCGUCACCUCCCUCGAGCUCAAGCUGACGAGAUUGUGUGCGAGAUCUCUCAAGUUUUGCCACAGUCGUACCGGUGGCUGGGUCUGGAGGAGAUGGACAGCAAAGAGGAGGUUUUCCGCGUGAUCAACUGGGACGUGGAGGUGAGGAGCUCCAAUCUCAGCCAGGCAAACAAGCUCUUGGAUUGACGUGGUCGGUUGGCACUCACUCAGUACACUGUAUGCCCAGUCCGGGCAUCUUGAGAUUUCCAGGAACAAGGAGUUCCGUGAUCGUCUCCUGGAACGCGAUGAUCACCGUGUAUGUGGCGGCAUCCCGCAUCCGAGAGUGAGAGUCUAUGUUUGAUUGCGACUCAGAGCGCCAUGGAACUCGAUUAUAAUGGUGGUCGCGCACCAGGGGCAAAUGAAAUCGACCUUGCGCAAAAACGCCGGCCAAGGAUCUCAUGUCCUGGACGAAUCUACUGCCCAGAAUGGCAGGACGUUCCGUGGGUUCCUGAAUACCAGGAGGGGGGAUUUGGCCACCGCCAAAGAGAUCUUAGACAUGGUGCAUGGACGGCGAUGACGACAGCCACCAAGGCGUCGUUGCCCUCACGAAGAACAGCUUCGGUCAAAUCCCGGAGAAGAAUCCAGUACCGUGGAUUCUCGCAUUUGCGAGAAUGGGCAUUUUGACAAGGCCGUUCACGAGAUCCUGCGCAAGACCAUUGUCUGCUGGAUAACUCUCACGCAAGUUUCAACUUGAGCGCCGCCAGGAGCAUGUUUGAGAGCAUGAAGAUGCGCACCUUAGUUUCCCGGACCAAUCCCGGACCAAAACGGGCACUACGAUCAAGCAGUGGAAGUCUUCCAGCUUAUGAAUCUCGGGGGUGUCAAGCCGGACGAGUUGAUGUUCCAGAGCGUUUUAACAUCGUGCAGCCAUGCCGAGCUGGGAACACUUGGUCUUGAUCAGCCAGUACUUUGGGAUGGUGGCGAGGAGAGGGCACUCUAUAUUUCUGCAUGAUCGACGUCCUGGGUCGAUCCAGGAGAACUUUGAGUGUGGAGGAGCUCGUCAAACUCGAUGCCAUUCCUUCCAGAUGUCGUGAUCUGGAUGGGAGCUUGCCUCCUCCAUGGCUGAUUGUGCUGAGAGAGUCGCAGCAAAGAUCUUUGAGAGCGCUGGAGCCCUGCUACACUAGCGGUCUCUCAAACAUGUACUCUGUCGAUUACACAUUGGGAGGUGGGACAAGGUCUCGAUGAUCUGGAACCUGAUGAGGUCGAGGCGAGUGAGAAAAGUUCCAGGGAUCAGUAACAUCGUUCGAGUUGGUAGCAAAGUUCACAGCUUCGUGGUCGCAGCAAAGACAUCGUCGAGGAGUGUAGGGGAGAGAGCAAAAGGAGGAGCUGCUACACUACCACCAGCGUUGUGGCUUUUGGAUUGAUCAGCAAGGCACAAGGGAUAUACGUUGCAGUGAAAGCAUUGCUUUCCCACAGUUCAUCUUUCGCUCUAAAUAAUCUUGUGAAGGACAGCCACCUUUUGACCCCGAGUGAAAUGUGACAUCAGCCUUGGAUUGCACAUUGGAAGCGAGGGGCUAGGUAAGCGCUAAGGCAGCAUCCAGGUAUUGAAAUCCAGUACCUUGUUUCUAGAGCAAUCCGAUCCGAUCCUAUGUUGUUGUCCUGGCCAUGGGUGCAACGCGGAUCCAUUUGUAUGGCCGAUUCCGCUGCAGCAGCAUGCUUUGUGGGUAUUGGAGCCCUGAUCAAAAUGCUUAUAUGUAAUGUUGGCACUGUAAGAGGAAGACACUGUGGAGGAAGGGCUUGCCAGAUCAUUUGGAUCCCUCGUCUUUCCACAAUCUGGAAAAAGAAUAGGAAGCAUGCCGAGCAGGCCUCCACAAAAGUCUUCGAAGGGCAAUGCGCCACCGCUGUCUAAGCAUGUGUGCUGUUCUAAGGUUUGACCCAUGCAGGUUCUCUGUGUUUGUCGAUUUAGAGCUUAAUCCAGGAUCGAAGGUACAGAACGGUGCUCAAGGUCACGCCUUGCCUGUUUGGACCAAUUUAGGAUCUCAAGCCAAGAGGAUGAAACGUUCAACAGCCGACUAGAUGGAAUGAAGCAAACGUUAGUGAUGAUGAUGAUGCACUUGCUGAGGACGUUUUGUUCAGAUUCCUCGAAGGCCUUCCAGGCCCGUUUUUGUGUUGACUGAAGUACUGGAUGUCUAUGUUGACGACGAAUUCACCAAGUACAGUAUUAUUCAAAUUUUUUCAUCUCAAACUGUAUUGCAGUGUGGCAUCUCGAAGCUGGAAUCGCAGAAUAUCUACUGCCGCUCUGAAAGUUUGGCUCUCCCAAGGUCAAGACAUCAAAAUUGACACUGAAGCAAGCUCUGCAAAACUAUCAAGACAUUCAGGAGCUUUGGCAUUUCUACCAGGAGUGUCAGUGAGCAGCAGAAGCGAGUAGGAUUUCAACGCUUGUAAUUGAGCGACAGUCUAGAUAUCAAUUCAAUUGACAAUCCAUAGCCAA
Long non-coding RNA from Selaginella moellendorffii, 2942 nucleotides. RefSeq lists it as uncharacterized. The record is from RefSeq and is a predicted model, not a curated record. The transcript is spliced from 4 exons. Lineage: Eukaryota; Viridiplantae; Streptophyta; Lycopodiopsida; Selaginellales; Selaginellaceae.